GAUGAACGCGGGCGGCGUGCCUAAUACAUGCAAGUCGAACGAGUUCUCGUUGAUGAUCGGUGCUUGCACCGAGAUUCAACAUGGAACGAGUGGCGGACGGGUGAGUAACACGUGGGUAACCUGCCCUUAAGUGGGGGAUAACAUUUGGAAACAGAUGCUAAUACCGCAUAGAUCCAAGAACCGCAUGGUUCUUGGCUGAAAGAUGGCGUAAGCUAUCACUUUUGGAUGGACCCGCGGCGUAUUAGCUAGUUGGUGAGGUAACGGCUCACCAAGGCGAUGAUAUGUAGCCGAACUGAGAGGUUGAUCGGCCACAUUGGGACUGAGACACGGCCCAAACUCCUACGGGAGGCAGCAGUAGGGAAUCUUCCACAAUGGACGCAAGUCUGAUGGAGCAACGCCGCCUGAGUGAAGAAGGCUUUCGGGUCGUAAAACUCUGUUGUGGAGAAGAAUGGUCGGCAGAGU
This 462-nucleotide ribosomal RNA is filed under the name Lacticaseibacillus paracasei. RNAcentral describes it as "bacterial SSU rRNA". It matches the Rfam family "Bacterial small subunit ribosomal RNA", at positions 28 to 462 of the family's 1533-position model. Lineage: Bacteria; Bacillati; Bacillota; Bacilli; Lactobacillales; Lactobacillaceae. The record is from RNAcentral.